UUUUUUUUCUUCAAUGUUUUGCUUGUGUGCUUUUCUGUUGUUAUUAAGUGCUGUCGUUUUAAUGCUGCCUGAUGAAAUCACUGGCUAUCUAGUGUCAAGUAAAAGUGGAAUGAAACACUUUAGCUGCUUUGCUUUUAAAGUCUUGUUGAAGCACGGCAGUUACCUAUGUUUGGAUAGAGGGAAGGAGAAGAGAAAAAGAAAUUUGGGAAAUUUCGUCUUUCUCUCUGUUUCGUUGGGAGGGACAGAAAAAGAACAACGUCAAAACUUUCAAUUGGAUAGUUUCACUGCAAGACUGAAAGGAGGAGAAAUUCGGUUGUUUUCAAUUUGAUCUUAUAACUAUGUUUCAAUUUGUAAGUUUUGCCCUGUGCUUUCUGCCUGUACUGUGAAAUGAUUGGAUUUGGAAUGAUGGCACAUGCUCAACCUUCCCCUCCUUUCAUUGAUUUUUCGAGCCAAACUGGAGAAAUUCCUUCAUACCUCCUUCCCUCUCAUUAAUUUUUUUAAGCCAAUCACUGUUUUUUGCAUUUUUCAGUAUCAUAUUUAGACCCUUUUUUGGCUUAAGACAUGCUAAAGAGGUGGCGCUUUCUUCUAUUUGAAGUUUGAACCUCAUUGGAUAAAUUUUGAGAAACUUGCAAACAAGGUUUUAGCCUGCAAAGAAUCUUGCAACUGGGAUUCUGUACUGUCAUAAUUGUUGAUAAGACAAGAGUUGAUGAAUCUUUUGUAUGCAAUUUACAAUUUUGGCAUUAUGGCUUAUGCAUUACAUACAUGAUAAUUAUUUACUUCUUGAUGCUGAUAUGCUAGUAUCUGAGCAGAUGGCCUCCCUUGCAACCUAUUUUGGCCUUGGACAGC
RNAcentral lists this long non-coding RNA (846 nucleotides) under Citrus sinensis (sweet orange). RNAcentral's name for it is "long non-coding RNA (CSIN_LNC005700)". The record is from RNAcentral. Lineage: Eukaryota; Viridiplantae; Streptophyta; Magnoliopsida; Sapindales; Rutaceae.